Molecule: ribosomal RNA, 377 nt
Filed under: uncultured eukaryote
Lineage: Eukaryota
Description: partial 18S ribosomal RNA
Rfam family: Eukaryotic small subunit ribosomal RNA
Source: RNAcentral
CAAUAGCGUAUAUUUAAGUUGCUGCAGUUAAAAAGCUCGUAGUUGGAUUUCGGGUGGGAAUGGCCGGUCCGCCGUUUCGGUGUGCACUUGCUACGCCCACCUUGCUGCCGGGGACGUGCUCUUGAGUUCACGCUCGGGACACGGAGUCGGCGAGGUUACUUUGAGUAAAUUAGAGUGUUCAAAGCAGGCCUACGCUCUGAGUACAUUAGCAUGGAAUAACACGAUAGGACUCUGGCCUAUCUUGUUGGUCUGUAGGACCGGAGUAAUGAUUAAGAGGGACAGUCGGGGGCAUUCGUAUUUCAUUGUCAGAGGUGAAAUUCUUAGAUUUAUGAAAGACGAACUACUGCGAAAGCAUUUGCCAAGGACGUUUUCAUUAA